GAUGAACGCUGGCGGCGUGCCUAAUACAUGCAAGUCGAGCGAACAGACGAGGAGCUUGCUCCUCUGACGUUAGCGGCGGACGGGUGAGUAACACGUGGAUAACCUACCUAUAAGACUGGGAUAACUUCGGGAAACCGGAGCUAAUACCGGAUAAUAUAUUGAACCGCAUGGUUCAAUAGUGAAAGACGGUUUUGCUGUCACUUAUAGAUGGAUCCGCGCCGCAUUAGCUAGUUGGUAAGGUAACGGCUUACCAAGGCAACGAUGCGUAGCCGACCUGAGAGGGUGAUCGGCCACACUGGAACUGAGACACGGUCAAGACUCCUACGGGAGGCAGCAGUAGGGAAUCUUCCGCAAUGGGCGAAAGCAUGACGGAGCAACGCCGCGUGAGUGAUGAAGGUCUUCGGAUCGUAAAACUCUGUUAUUAGGGAAGAACAAAUGUGUAAGUAACUAUGCACGUCUUGACGGUACCUAAUCAGAAAGCCACGGCUAACUACGUG
Molecule: ribosomal RNA, 497 nt
Filed under: uncultured bacterium
Lineage: Bacteria
Description: partial 16S ribosomal RNA
Rfam family: Bacterial small subunit ribosomal RNA
Source: RNAcentral